RNAcentral lists this microRNA precursor (109 nucleotides) under Pelodiscus sinensis (Chinese soft-shelled turtle). RNAcentral's name for it is "microRNA 30e (ENSPSIG00000019552.1)". The stretch from base 16 to 94 matches the Rfam family "mir-30 microRNA precursor family". Rfam says of the family: This family consists of the mammalian microRNA (miRNA) precursor mir-30a. Animal miRNAs are transcribed as ~70nt precursors and subsequently processed by the Dicer enzyme to give a ~22nt product. Lineage: Eukaryota; Metazoa; Chordata; Testudines; Trionychidae. The record is from RNAcentral.
UUUUUCUGGGCAGUCAUUGCUACUGUAAACAUCCUUGACUGGAAGCUGUAAGGUGUUAGAAGGGAGCUUUCAGUCGGAUGUUUACAGCGGCAGGCUGCCACAGUCAUCC